This 1418-nucleotide ribosomal RNA is filed under the name Salmonella enterica subsp. enterica serovar Welikade. Its description in RNAcentral is "bacterial SSU rRNA". It matches the Rfam family "Bacterial small subunit ribosomal RNA". Lineage: Bacteria; Pseudomonadati; Pseudomonadota; Gammaproteobacteria; Enterobacterales; Enterobacteriaceae. The record is from RNAcentral.
GGACGGGUGAGUAAUGUCUGGGAAACUGCCUGAUGGAGGGGGAUAACUACUGGAAACGGUGGCUAAUACCGCAUAACGUCGCAAGACCAAAGAGGGGGACCUUCGGGCCUCUUGCCAUCAGAUGUGCCCAGAUGGGAUUAGCUUGUUGGUGAGGUAACGGCUCACCAAGGCGACGAUCCCUAGCUGGUCUGAGAGGAUGACCAGCCACACUGGAACUGAGACACGGUCCAGACUCCUACGGGAGGCAGCAGUGGGGAAUAUUGCACAAUGGGCGCAAGCCUGAUGCAGCCAUGCCGCGUGUAUGAAGAAGGCCUUCGGGUUGUAAAGUACUUUCAGCGGGGAGGAAGGUGUUGUGGUUAAUAACCGCAGCAAUUGACGUUACCCGCAGAAGAAGCACCGGCUAACUCCGUGCCAGCAGCCGCGGUAAUACGGAGGGUGCAAGCGUUAAUCGGAAUUACUGGGCGUAAAGCGCACGCAGGCGGUCUGUCAAGUCGGAUGUGAAAUCCCCGGGCUCAACCUGGGAACUGCAUUCGAAACUGGCAGGCUUGAGUCUUGUAGAGGGGGGUAGAAUUCCAGGUGUAGCGGUGAAAUGCGUAGAGAUCUGGAGGAAUACCGGUGGCGAAGGCGGCCCCCUGGACAAAGACUGACGCUCAGGUGCGAAAGCGUGGGGAGCAAACAGGAUUAGAUACCCUGGUAGUCCACGCCGUAAACGAUGUCUACUUGGAGGUUGUGCCCUUGAGGCGUGGCUUCCGGAGCUAACGCGUUAAGUAGACCGCCUGGGGAGUACGGCCGCAAGGUUAAAACUCAAAUGAAUUGACGGGGGCCCGCACAAGCGGUGGAGCAUGUGGUUUAAUUCGAUGCAACGCGAAGAACCUUACCUGGUCUUGACAUCCACAGAACUUUCCAGAGAUGGAUUGGUGCCUUCGGGAACUGUGAGACAGGUGCUGCAUGGCUGUCGUCAGCUCGUGUUGUGAAAUGUUGGGUUAAGUCCCGCAACGAGCGCAACCCUUAUCCUUUGUUGCCAGCGGUCCGGCCGGGAACUCAAAGGAGACUGCCAGUGAUAAACUGGAGGAAGGUGGGGAUGACGUCAAGUCAUCAUGGCCCUUACGACCAGGGCUACACACGUGCUACAAUGGCGCAUACAAAGAGAAGCGACCUCGCGAGAGCAAGCGGACCUCAUAAAGUGCGUCGUAGUCCGGAUUGGAGUCUGCAACUCGACUCCAUGAAGUCGGAAUCGCUAGUAAUCGUGGAUCAGAAUGCCACGGUGAAUACGUUCCCGGGCCUUGUACACACCGCCCGUCACACCAUGGGAGUGGGUUGCAAAAGAAGUAGGUAGCUUAACCUUCGGGAGGGCGCUUACCACUUUGUGAUUCAUGACUGGGGUGAAGUCGUAACAAGGUAACCGUAGGGGAACCUGC